RNAcentral lists this long non-coding RNA (223 nucleotides) under Elaeis guineensis (African oil palm). RNAcentral describes it as "long non-coding RNA (EGUI_LNC057365)". Lineage: Eukaryota; Viridiplantae; Streptophyta; Magnoliopsida; Arecales; Arecaceae. The record is from RNAcentral.
GUGGCCGUUACAGUGGACACACUUUCCUUUGCCAGUGACCUUUCGUUUCUUCAUGGACUUUUCUUUUUCUAAUUAGACUUUCUAUUGGUAGAAGUAGCCUGCUCCACAAUGAGAACUGUGCACCUUAAAUCCUUCAAGGCCUCUUUAGCAGUUACCAAUCUUGGUGCAAUCAAUUUUAUUCAUAUGAUAGUUUACUAUAAACUGUCCAUACGAAUCAAGAAGG